GCCGAGGUGGCGGAAUUGGUAGACGCGCAUGGUUCAGGUCCAUGUGAGCGAAAGCUCGUGGAGGUUCGAGUCCUCUUCUCGGCACCA
RNAcentral lists this transfer RNA (87 nucleotides) under Thiorhodococcus drewsii AZ1. RNAcentral describes it as "tRNA-Leu". It matches the Rfam family "tRNA". Rfam says of the family: Transfer RNA (tRNA) molecules are approximately 80 nucleotides in length. The record is from RNAcentral. Lineage: Bacteria; Pseudomonadati; Pseudomonadota; Gammaproteobacteria; Chromatiales; Chromatiaceae.